This 306-nucleotide ribosomal RNA is filed under the name uncultured bacterium. RNAcentral's name for it is "bacterial SSU rRNA". It matches the Rfam family "Bacterial small subunit ribosomal RNA", at positions 28 to 349 of the family's 1533-position model. The record is from RNAcentral.
GAUGAACGCUAGCGGCAGGCCUGAUACAUGCAAGUCAAGGGGAUAGCAAUAUCACCGGCGGACGGGUGCGUAACGCGUACACAACGUGCCCAAGGGCGGAGGAAAGCGGCGGGAAACUGCCGGUAAUACUCCAUGGUGUUGUUGAGUGGCAUCACUUAACAACUAAAGUACAAGCGCCCUUGGAUCGGUGUGCGUUCGAUUAGCUAGUUGGCGGGUAACGGCCCACCAAGGCUUCGAUCGAUAGGGGGUGUGAGAGCAUGACCCCCCCACACGGUACGUNAGACACGACCGACCUCUACGGAGGGC